RNAcentral lists this long non-coding RNA (2768 nucleotides) under Homo sapiens (human). RNAcentral's name for it is "HSALNT0071104". Lineage: Eukaryota; Metazoa; Chordata; Mammalia; Primates; Hominidae. The record is from RNAcentral.
CCCCAAAUGAAAUAUAGGGUGGGUCUCCUAGGUCUUCUCAUCUGUGUCAAUGACAAGAAAAUUUAUAUUAUAAAAGUGUCUGGUCUAAUCUAGUAUGCAAGACUAUCUCUAGUAUAGUUCAUUCAUUAUAAAGCCUACUGUACUCAGUCACCACCCCUCUCUUACAAGCCUACUUUAAAUUGGAAAGCCUGUCUCGCUUGUUUCGGUGUGGUGAGUGAAAUGGAGAAGGCUAAACUUUUUCUUCCCACAUGCUCACUUCCUUGCUUGUUCGCUAGCUGCUGCAUCUGGCCCCUCAAGGGUAAAGUCAAGGGGAAAAGGAGAUUGAGAGGAAGGACAGUCUGUGAAUUGGGUCUCACCGUGUUUCCCAGGCUGAAGUACAGUGUUGUGAUAUCAGUUCAUUGCAACUUCUGUCUUCUGAGCUCAAGCAAUCCUCUUGCCUCAGCCUCUCAAGUAGCUGGGACUGACUACAGGCAUGAACCACCACACCUGGCUAAUUUUUUUUGUAUUUUUGUCGAAAAGACAGUUUCGCCAUGUUGUACAGAACUACUUCUCAAAUCACUAUUCACAUCCUGGUAGAAGUCAAGCAAUGAAGAUGGCACAGAAACACAUCCCAAAUACUAUGAUACCAUAAAGUAUACUGUAGCAAUGCAUUGGCACACCCUCAUUUGAACAUUUGUCUCAGAAGAUUUUGACAGAAGAUAAAAUUGUCUGGUUUUUAUUUCAUUGGUUUCAUGAAAAUUUAUUUCACUGGUUUCAUGUCACAGGCCCAUGACUGUAUAAAGAGUCAUAAUCUUUACAAACACAACAAUGACUCACAGCGACAUGUUGCAAAGCUGUAAUCGAAAACACUGAUGUUGAUUUCAGAGGCCAUUAAUGGUGUUAAGAAGGCGCUUUUGUUAACCAAAUAAUUGAAUACUCGUAAUUACUUUUCAGUUCUAGUUCAGUUCUUGACACCAAAACAAGCCAUUUUCUUUACAUAGUGAAUGCAGAACUUGCCAGUAAGAACUUUCAUACUAAACUUCUAUGUAAAACAAAACAUGUCAAAAUCAGUAACUACUUUAAUGGAAUGGUAAAGAAUUUACUUAAACACAAAGGAAUGAAAAUAUCUCUGCAAAUAUGUCUAUUGACUUUUCAAAUUUGGUGACUUCUUUCGAAUUAAUUCCCUUACGUCUGUUCCUCAUCCACAUAAAAAUGACAAAAAUGAAAGAUAAUUUUCCAGCCUAUAAUUAAAUUUCUCCAUUGUUGGUAUAUGUUUUUUCAAAUACAUUUUUCAGUUUUCAUAAUUCAUAUGAGAAUUAUUAAAAGGGAGUUAGUUGCCUUUAGGACCUUAUUUGGAGCCUAAUUCUUAAAAAUUGUGUAAAAAUAAUUGUGACUUUUAAGAGACAAUUGGAAAUUUGAACCUGACCACAUUUUUGUGAUAUUAAGGAAUUUUAUUAAUUAUUUUCUAGGUGGGGGAAUGAUAUGAUGAUAUUCUUAAAAUAAUGUGUGGAUUGUUUAUUACAUUUCAACAUUUUCUUAAUCAUCAAACAUUUGUUGACCUUCUGCUGUAUCUAGAGCUCUGUGAUCGGGAUGAAGUAUGAGAUAUUAAGCCAUUACCAGGUGGUAGUUACUCUACCUCUGUUUGAAGUUCAUGCCCAGCCCAUUUGUUGCUUUAAAUUUGAGUUCAUUCUUGAGCAUGUGCCACCAAAUUCCAAGCAUUUUCAAAUGGUGAAUUACUUCUUACAAACUCAACGGAGUGUAUGUUAGCCGAUCUGAAGUAACCCACUUGAAGUGAUGCGCUGUGUCAACCUUAAUAUCACCAUCAAAUGAUCCCUAGGGAAUGCAACAUUUGGCUUAUUUCAUUUUUAACAUGUGAAUUUAGUUUAUAUCAAAGUAAUAUAAUACACAUAGUUUAAAAAAAUCAUAUAGUAUGACAACAACUUGAAAGAAAAGCAACAGAUCCUUGCAGGUUGCUCUUCUUCCUCCCCAAGUACCUGAGCAUCUGUCAUUGUCCUCCAGCAUAAGGCCGUCAGGAGCACACCUAUAAUUGAAUAAGCAGGACUCACUACCCAUUUCAGUGAGGGAAAACUCACACCACAGAGAAUCCUGGGGUGUCUCAGGUGAAGGAUGUUAAAAGGGACUUAUAACAGGAUUUGGGCUUUGGUUGGGUGACUCGACGGAAGUUUCCCGCUCUGAAUUGGAUGCUCUCUAAAAGUGGUUAUAAUCUGUGAUUGGGUAUCUCGAUAAGUCUUAUCCUUAGAGAGGGCAGACUAGAGUAAUGCUAAAGAUGCAAUUGUUAAGAAGCAGUCCUCAUUCGUAUUAGCUGAGAGAGGGGAAUGUUUCGUAUUUUGUGGCUUGAACAAUGCUCAUGUGUUUAGACAUGAUUGUAGAGUGAUUUUCAAUUUGUUUUGAUCCAUCAUAGUGCUGAUGUCAUGUUAAUUUUUUUUUUAAUGUUCAACAGAAUACUAACACCUAGCUGUGAGUACCAGGACAGCUGGUAGCAACCCCAAGGCUUUGCUGGUAGUGCCAGGCUAGCUCCUGGAAGUCAGAAGUUGCUUUGUUCUUUCCCAUGUCUUUUCCCAGAGGCAAUCACAUUAAACCUUUUAGAAGUUUCUUCUGGCACUUACCUCCAGAUUCCUAAUAGUUUUUCUUUGUUUUUAAAUGUUUGAUUUAUUUUUAAAUAUUUGACUUCCUGCUAUAGAAAUAAGACUUUUUGCUCUCUUGUAUCCACCCUGCUAUACACAUUUGCUAUGUACAUACCUCCUAUACUCGUCCUAAUAAUACACAUG